This 908-nucleotide ribosomal RNA is filed under the name uncultured organism. RNAcentral's name for it is "bacterial SSU rRNA". It matches the Rfam family "Bacterial small subunit ribosomal RNA", at positions 36 to 940 of the family's 1533-position model. The record is from RNAcentral.
CUGGCGGCAUGGCUAAGACAUGCAAGUCGAACGGACCAUAUAAUUGGGUAACCGAAAGUAUGGUUAGUGGCGAAAGGGUGAGGAAUAGAUAGGAACGUACCCUGUGCUCUGGGAUAGCGUCUGAAGCUUCGGCUUCUUCCGAAAGGGGCGGUAAUACCAGAUAAUGUCCUUCGGGACCAAAGAUUUAUCGGCAUUGGAGCGGCCUAUCUCCUAUCAGCUUGUUGGUGAGGUAACGGCUCACCAAGGCAACGACGGGUAGCGGGACUGAGAGGUUGGCCCGCCACAUCGGGACUGAGACACUGCCCGGACCUCCACGGAGGGCUGCAGUAACGGAUAUUGGGCAAUGGGCGAAAGCCUGACCCAGCAAUGCCGCGUGCAGGAUGAAGCCCCUAGGGGUGUAAACUGCUGUCAGGGGUCAGAAAGCUGGUUUCGGCCAGUUGAUCAACCCCAGAGGAAGUCACGGCUAACUUCGUGCCAGCAGCCGCGGUAAUACGAAGGUGGCAAGCGUUAUUCGGAAUCAUUGGGCUUAAAGGGCACGCAGGCGGAACAGUGUGUGUUGUGUGAAGUCCCCCGGCUUAACCGGGGAAUUGCACAGCAAACUGCUGUUCUUGAGGCAGGUAGGGGUGCAUGGAACUCUUGGUGGAGCGGUGGAAUGCGUAGAUAUCAAGAGGAACGCCAGAGGUGAAGACGGUGCACUGGGCCUGUCCUGACGCUGAGGUGCGACAGCGUGGGGAGCGAACGGGAUUAGAUACCCCGGUAGUCCACGCCGUAAACGAUGUCUACUAAGUCCUGGGUGUUCUGACACAUUCACGGCCGGAGCAAAAGUGUUUAGUAGACCGCCUGGGGAGUACGGCCGCAAGGUUAAAACUCAAAUGAAUUGACGGGGGCUCACACAAGCGGUGGAGCAU